AUUUCUCUGUGAAGAGAUGUUGCAAGCGGGUAGUCCCCUGAGCCGAUAUUUCAUACCACAGAAUGGCUCCGCGGUUGGUGAGCAUACUCAGUUCGUCCGAAGCCUUAAAACUGUGAGCGACACAUUCACCUUGAACAAGGGUUCAGGGUUUACAGCGGCAUCUCGGAGAAUUC
RNAcentral lists this non-coding RNA (173 nucleotides) under Salmonella enterica subsp. enterica. RNAcentral's name for it is "6S RNA". It matches the Rfam family "6S / SsrS RNA". From Rfam's summary of the family: E. coli 6S RNA was the first non coding RNA to be sequenced, but its function was unknown until recently. It consists of 184 nucleotides that fold into an extended hairpin structure with a large single-stranded internal bulge. Lineage: Bacteria; Pseudomonadati; Pseudomonadota; Gammaproteobacteria; Enterobacterales; Enterobacteriaceae. The record is from RNAcentral.